This 464-nucleotide ribosomal RNA is filed under the name Vreelandella stevensii. RNAcentral describes it as "partial 16S ribosomal RNA". It matches the Rfam family "Bacterial small subunit ribosomal RNA", at positions 338 to 794 of the family's 1533-position model. The record is from RNAcentral. Lineage: Bacteria; Pseudomonadati; Pseudomonadota; Gammaproteobacteria; Oceanospirillales; Halomonadaceae.
CCUACGGGUGGCAGCAGUGGGGAAUAUUGGACAAUGGGCGAAAGCCUGAUCCUGCCAUGCCGCGUGUGUGAAGAAGGCCUUCGGGUUGAAAAGCACUUUCAGUGGGGAAGAAAGCCUUGGGGCUAAUACCCUCGAGGAAGGACAUCACCCACAGAAGAAGCACCGGCUAACUCCGUGCCAGCAGCCGCGGUAAUACGGAGGGUGCGAGCGUUAAUCGGAAUUACUGGGCGUAAAGCGCGCGUAGGCGGUCUGAUAAGCCGGUUGUGAAAGCCCCGGGCUCAACCUGGGAACGGCAUCCGGAACUGUCAGGCUAGAGUGCAGGAGAGGAAGGUAGAAUUCCCGGUGUAGCGGUGAAAUGCGUAGAGAUCGGGAGGAAUACCAGUGGCGAAGGCGGCCUUCUGGACUGACACUGACGCUGAGGUGCGAAAGCGUGGGUAGCAAACAGGAUUAGAUACCCCAGUAUC